RNAcentral lists this ribosomal RNA (627 nucleotides) under uncultured bacterium. RNAcentral describes it as "bacterial SSU rRNA". It matches the Rfam family "Bacterial small subunit ribosomal RNA", at positions 53 to 692 of the family's 1533-position model. The record is from RNAcentral.
ACGAUGAAAGAGAAUCCGAUCUCUUCGGAGUGAAGAAUCUCUGGAUUAGUGGCGGACGGGUGAGUAACGCGUGAGCAAUCUGCCUUACACAAAGGGAUAGCCUCGGGAAACCGGGAUUAAUACCAUAUGAUAUCUAUUCACCGCAUGGUUUAUAGAUUAAAGAAUUUCGGUGUAAGAUGAGCUCGCGUCCCAUUAAUUAGUUGGUGAGGGUAACGGCCCACCAAGAUAGCGAUGGGUAGCCGAUCUAAGAGGAUGACCGGCCACAUUGGAACUGAGAAACGGUCCAAACUCCUACGGGAGGCAGCAGUGGGGAAUAUUGCACAAUGGGGGGAACCCUGAUGCAGCGACGCCGCGUGAGCGAUGAAGGCUUUCGAGUCGUAAAGCUCUGUCCUAUGGGAAGAUAAUGACGGUACCAUAGAAGAAAGCCCCGGCUAAUUACGUGCCAGCAGCCGCGGUAAUACGUAAGGGGCGAGCGUUGUCCGGAAUUAUUGGGCGUAAAGAGUGCGUAGGCGGCAAAUUAAGUCAGAUGUGAAAACUAAGGGCUCAACCCAUAGAUUGCAUCUGAAACUGAUAUGCUUGAGUCAAGGAGAGGAAAGUGGAAUUCCUAGUGUAGCGGUGGAAUGCGUA